UACGGAGGGUGCAAGCGUUAUCCGGAUUCACUGGGUUUAAAGGGUGCGUAGGUGGGUUUGUAAGUCAGUGGUGGAAUCUCCAAGCUUAACUUGGAAACUGCCGUUGAUACUAUAAAUCUUGAAUGUUGUGGAGGUGAGCGGAAUAUGUCAUGUAGCGGUGAAAUGCUUAGAUAUGACAUAGAACACCAAUUGCGAAGGCAGCUCACUACACAAAGAUUGACACUGAGGCACGAAAGCGUGGGGAUCAAACAGG
This 253-nucleotide ribosomal RNA is filed under the name uncultured bacterium. RNAcentral's name for it is "partial 16S ribosomal RNA". It matches the Rfam family "Bacterial small subunit ribosomal RNA", at positions 524 to 776 of the family's 1533-position model. The record is from RNAcentral.